Molecule: ribosomal RNA, 460 nt
Filed under: uncultured Bacteroidales bacterium
Lineage: Bacteria; Pseudomonadati; Bacteroidota; Bacteroidia; Bacteroidales
Description: bacterial SSU rRNA
Rfam family: Bacterial small subunit ribosomal RNA
Source: RNAcentral
UCCUACGGGUGGCUGCAGUGAGGAAUAUUGGUCAAUGGACGCAAGUCUGAACCAGCCAUGCCGCGUGCAGGAUGACGGCCCUAUGGGUUGUAAACUGCUUUUCUACGGGAAGAACCCCCCCGACGUGUCGGGGACUGACGGUACCGUGGGAAUAAGCAUCGGCUAACUCCGUGCCAGCAGCCGCGGUAAUACGGAGGAUGCAAGCGUUAUCCGGAUUUAUUGGGUUUAAAGGGUGCGUAGGCGGACUAAUAAGUCAGUGGUGAAAUCCCCCGGCUCAACCAGGGAACUGCCAUUGAUACUGUUAGUCUAGAGUACAGUUGAAGUGGGCGGAAUGUAGCAUGUAGCGGUGAAAUGCAUAGAUAUGCUACAGAACACCAAUAGCGAAGGCAGCUCGCUAAGCUGUAACUGACGCUAAUGCACGAAAGCGUGGGGAUCAAACAGGAUUAGAUACCCAGUAGUC